UACGUAGGGUGCAAGCGUUACUCGGAAUUACUGGGCGUAAAGCGUGCGCAGGCGGUGAUGUAAGACAGGUGUGAAAUCCCCGGGCUUAACCUGGGAACUGCAUUUGUGACUGCAUUGCUGGAGUGCGGCAGAGGGGGAUGGAAUUCCGCGUGUAGCAGUGAAAUGCGUAGAUAUGCGGAGGAACACCGAUGGCGAAGGCAAUCCCCUGGGCCUGCACUGACGCUCAUGCACGAAAGCGUGGGGAGCAAACAGG
Molecule: ribosomal RNA, 253 nt
Filed under: uncultured bacterium
Lineage: Bacteria
Description: partial 16S ribosomal RNA
Rfam family: Bacterial small subunit ribosomal RNA
Source: RNAcentral